AGCUGCACUGCGGACCAUGCAAGCAAACGGGCCUUUGCCUCCGUGUGCACGCGGGAUGAUUAGAGAUUCCUGUCCUGCCCUGACACCCUAAUCUGCCUAAUUACAUUAAGGCAGCUAAAACCUUCUCCAACCGCAGUGCCAGUUGCUCAUGUGGCACAAACCAAACAAACACACGGACAACGACGAGAUAGUUCACCUCUGCUGAAAGAAUCUUCUUCAGGCGGGAGAUGUUUGUCAAACUUGGGGGCUCCCCAGCGAGAAGAAAUGUUGACCAUGCAAAGUUAAAAAUACCAUGUUGCGUCUGAAUGGUCAAAACCUCAGGCUGGCGGCUAAAAAUGGCCUCGAUUCCAAAACACCUGCCCCCCAUUUGUCAGCAACCCGCGGGAGGGAGACGGCGGGUCGGCUUACGGCCUCGCUGCUGCCCACGUCCCCCGGGCCUGACUCCCGGAGGCCCCCCAGACGCCCCCCGAAGCUCGCCCCGCUGGAGCUGCCAGAGGCGGUGAGGGAGUCCCAGAGGCGGAAACUUCAGCUCAUCCAGCAGGAGGCCAAACCGGCUUCCUGUCAGCUGGACGCGACGGGGGCCGACACCUGCGCGGGGGAGGUAAAAUCCUGCGUGGGACGGAAACCGGAAAAAGCUGCAGGUCGCCCCGCUGCCUCCGCCGAGAGACACGCACCUUCGAGGCCCCGGCCGGCGCGCUCCGUCCCCGCAGAGCACAACGGAGACGAGCUCCUGGAGGACGCGGUGCGUCGAGGUGCCCCAGCGCCGCUGGGCAGCAGGCCCGCCCCACCUUUGCUUGCCCACAGAGCUGGAGCUCGAGCCCCGCGUCCCGUGGAGGUGGCGCGUGAAAUCCCCCAGCGCCCCCCAGCAGGGGAAAAGGCGAGGCGGUGGCUGAGGCCGAGGAGAUCGCAAGGCCCGGGAGAGGAUAAGUGCAAUUCACUCACUUCGACCGGGGGAUUAUCUGCAGAUAAAGGCGAGCUGGCCCAAGGUGUCCAAGGCGAAGGGAAGAAGGCAGAGAGGGCUGGAAAAGCCAUCAGAGAGCCUCCUGCAGCCCACCGGGAGCGAGGAGGCCGUAUCAGGGAAAGCCAUCAAGAGGACUGCAGGCAGCCAUGUGCUCCGACCGGACAGACGAAGGUGGGAGCGGUGAACAUCCGCUCGACGGUGCGAAGCCGAGUGCUUCUAAUUGUGGAUUAAAGAAGAAAACGUGAUCUCAAAGCACAACAGCGCUUUCCCUCUGGAACGUCUCCAACUGUAAUUCGAUUGGAUCUUUCACUUUUGCAGCUCGGGACUUUAUUAAAUGAUGUCAUGCUCAGAGAUGGUCCGCCAGAAACAGGCUUAACAUCCCAGUUUGGCAGCUGAUUUAUAGUCUAAGUUACUCAGCAGAUGAAAAGCCUCAUGUGGGAAUCAGAAAGGGCUGCUGUAUUUAUACACUGCUGUACACACACAAACAACGGCAGCAAAUGGCUUCGAACAGUUUAAUGUGCAAUUAUUUAAUUUCACCAGAUUUGACUUCAGAAAUGGGCCCAUAUUGAAAUAGCAACGCAGGCAACACAUCGCUGGCAGGAAGCCGGAUGAUUUGGAGUUUGUAGAGCUGACUUUCCCUCGUGUUCCCAAACAACAUUUCAUAAUGACGUGCUCCAUAAUAACAUUUCAUGAAAGUGUAGCAGCUCUAUCUUGUGCAAUUUGUUAUUUCCCAAACCUUCUGCCCUAGAUAAGACUGUGUAAUGAUUCAAUGCACGGAACAAAGUAAAGCUGCUGGCACAUCACAGAGAGUUACAUCGGCCAAGAUGACCCUCAGAGAAAAUAGUUUGGACCGAUGAGUUAAACAACAGCCGACAAUGACCAUCCUUACUUUCAUCAGUCAAAUGUUACAAUGAAUGUACAAUAAUUAAAGACUUUUAACAAUAUGCAGUGUUUCUGAUUGUCAUGUUUAAAAUAUGAUACACAUCAGGUUGAGGAGCAUCAUACUUUUAACACUUGAGUAUGGAUCAUAUUUUCUAUUAGUCUUGUUGCUCAGAGAAAAUGUUCUUAUUUGUUUUUUGUUUCAGCUG
This is a long non-coding RNA of Gasterosteus aculeatus aculeatus (three-spined stickleback), 2049 nucleotides long. The record is from Ensembl. NCBI's taxonomy places the organism in Eukaryota, Metazoa, Chordata, Actinopteri, Perciformes, Gasterosteidae.